Molecule: ribosomal RNA, 439 nt
Filed under: uncultured bacterium
Lineage: Bacteria
Description: partial 16S ribosomal RNA
Rfam family: Bacterial small subunit ribosomal RNA
Source: RNAcentral
CUACGGGGGGCUGCAGUGGGGAAUAUUGCACAAUGGAGGAAACUCUGAUGCAGCAACGCCGCGUGGAGGAUGACACUUUUCGGAGCGUAAACUCCUUUUAUAUAGGAAGAAGAUGGCGGUACUAUAUGAAUAAGCGCCGGCUAACUCCGUGCCAGCAGCCGCGGUAAUACGGAGGGCGCAAGCGUUACUCGGAAUCACUGGGCGUAAAGAGCGUGUAGGCGGAUUAAAAAGUCAGAAGUGAAAUCCUAUAGCUUAACUAUAGAACUGCUUCUGAAACUCUUAAUCUAGAAUGUGGGAGAGGUAGAUGGAAUUUCUGGUGUAGGGGUAAAAUCCGUAGAGAUCAGAAGGAAUACCGAUUGCGAAGGCGUUCUACUAGAACAUUAUUGACGCUGAGGUGCGAAAGCGUGGGGAGCAAACAGGAUUAGAUACCCCUGUAGUC